GCCUGUGUAGUGUAGUGGUUUGAACACUGGAGUACAACCCUGGAGGUCAGGGUUCGAAUCCCCACUCAGCCA
Molecule: non-coding RNA, 72 nt
Organism: Phrynosoma platyrhinos (Desert horned lizard)
Lineage: Eukaryota; Metazoa; Chordata; Lepidosauria; Squamata; Phrynosomatidae
Source: the annotation of a GenBank genome assembly